This 253-nucleotide ribosomal RNA is filed under the name uncultured bacterium. RNAcentral's name for it is "partial 16S ribosomal RNA". It matches the Rfam family "Bacterial small subunit ribosomal RNA", at positions 524 to 776 of the family's 1533-position model. The record is from RNAcentral.
AACGUAGGACACAAGCGUUAUCCGGAGUUACUGGGCGUAAAGGGCGUGUAGGCGGAUCGGUAAGUCUACUCUGAAAGCUCCUGGCUAAACUGGGAGAGGCGAGUGGAGACUGUCGGUCUAGAGUGAGGAAGAGGAAAGUGGAAUUCCGCGUGUAGUGGUGAAAUGCGUAGAGAUGCGGAGGAACACCAGUGGCGAAGGCGACUACCUGGCCUGUUCUUGACGCUGAGGCGCGAAAGCUAGGGGAGCAAACGGG